CUGAGCACUUGCUGUCCUGAGGAAGGAACACACAUUUGACUAGACUGUAUCUUCUCUAAAGAUGUGCUGCGCAUCAAUUCAUCUCCUCAUUGGUGCCUUAUUUGUCUUUGCUGUUGAAAAUGAGGCAACAACAAUGAUAAGCAGCACAGAAAUCACCACUGCUCCAGUUUCAAUGUUUAUUGACAACACCACCCUAAUCAAUGAAACAUCAGAGGGCUUUCUAGACAACUUUACCACUCCAAACUCCACUGUCGCCCUGUCAAACACGACGGAUGGAAAUACCACGUCAGAAUCACCUACUCCUCCGCCCUCAGAACAUCCACAGACCAAGAAUUACACCACAGACAAACCUCUGAAAAAGGAUUCACAAUCAAGCACAAAAAAUAUGAUCAAAAGCACAGCAAGCAAAACAACCACAAUUCAAGCACAAAAACCUGGCAAAAACCAUGGACCAACUUACAUAAUUAUCCUGAUUAUAGUUGUUUUGUGCAUCUCUGGGGCAGUAGUUUAUUGUUGCCUUCAAAAGAACUCCAGGAAGUACUCUGUGGACUUACAUCCCAAACAAGAAGAUGCUCAGAUCCCACUCAGCACAGUGGAUGUAGAGGUGUUUGACACCACAUCAGUCAAAGAUAUACAAACAUUCACUCCUGUCGAGUCCACCGAGCCGCUUAAGGACCCUGUGCAUGUGAAGGAAGCUGAAAAGCCUGAGGGAGGGAAAGAAUCAGCUGAUGUUAAACAAGAAAACCAACCGAAUUUAUCCAGCACUCAGGCCAAAGUGAACACAAAGGAUAAAACGGAUGGGCUGACCGUAGUGGAUCUGACUGAUGGAGAACUGACGAUCUCCACCAAAACUUCAAUGGAAUCCCUAGAUGAUGCUCUCAAUGAAAACAACAGCAACAAUACAGGAGCUGAAGUCAACGGCAAUGGGCAGGAAUUCACUGAAAUCUCUAUUGAUACUUUACUUUUAAAAUAAAUCAGCCUUUUCCCAACAUUUUACAAUGAUCUCUGAACCAGACUGAUGGAUUUUUUAAACUGGAAGCAAAAGCUGAACUAAGUUGUAAACUAUGCGAGUCAUUGUUAGAACAAUGUUGUUUGCAUAUACAGUACAUACAGUACUAUGAAAAGUCUAACAGGGCCCAGUGUACUGUGUUGAUGAUAUAAUGUAACUUUCUUUAUAAUUUUUUUUCUUGUGUUUUACUCAUAUUUUGAAUUGCAUUGUGUUGUUUAAGGGUUAAAGGAAAUAUACUGUACAUACAUAAACUUAACGGAGAAACUUAAUGGAGUUAGUACCUUUACAGUUAACAUAAUAUUACCUAUUAUGUUUGAUUUUAAUAUUGUAACUAUUUUAAACCUAAUUUAUGAAAAUCUAAUCUAAUCUUAAAAGGAUAAUUUUGUAAAUUUUCAACCAGCUUUGUAUUGUUGUCGACUAUAUAUGUAAAUGAAGAAUGUGUACUCUUUUUCCAUGUUAUUGGACCCAGAUAUCCCCAUUUAUUUUCCAAGCAAAAGGAUGCUUGGAAUUUGAAUCGACAGAGCAUAUACAGUACAUCAAUAUAUAAAAUAUAUAAAAAUCAAAAGUGUAUUAUGAGUGUUGACGUUUACAGGGAUAUUUGUACAUUGUACAUUGAAUACAUUUUUAAUUAAAAUAGAUAUGUGUAAAGGAAGUUAUGUAAAGGAAAUCUCAUCAGAGUGCUAUAGAGCUCACAGUUCCUCUGUUGUAUGUAUAUGCAUGUUAUAAUGCCUAUAACUGUUAAC
Molecule: long non-coding RNA, 1752 nt
Filed under: Sinocyclocheilus anshuiensis
Lineage: Eukaryota; Metazoa; Chordata; Actinopteri; Cypriniformes; Cyprinidae
Description: lncRNA (ENSSANG00000005206.1)
Source: RNAcentral